AGUAUGCGAUAUUUCGGAACUGAGUCUAGUUCCUUCGAUACCAGUGUAAUCUAAUAAUCAUGAAAUCUGCUGUGUUGGUACUAGACUCAGUUCCGAAAUAUCGCAUACUCG
This is a non-coding RNA of Paramuricea clavata, 111 nucleotides long. The record is from the annotation of a GenBank genome assembly. NCBI's taxonomy places the organism in Eukaryota, Metazoa, Cnidaria, Anthozoa, Malacalcyonacea, Plexauridae.